CUGGAUGUCAGCGCCAUCUUUGUUUUACCGCGCCGCUCCCUACAAAAAGGGAGGAGAAAUUAUAUUAUUUCAGGCAUUUAUGAACACCUCCUAGCCACAAAAAAUAUGUUAAGAAUCAUACUAUCAUGACACCUUACAGAUCAGGGACCUGAAGCUCAGAAAGACUAGCUCACUGCUUCAUGAGCACAUGCUACGGAGAGCAUCCUCUGACUCUCAUGCUCAUAACUAUACUGGCUGAAUCUCCCACCUUUCUGAAAGAUACAAGGGAUGGCAUCACUUAAGGUGAGAGGCAUUAAUGCUCCAUUUAAGAGCCAUUGCUUUGGCUUAAAGCACCACAGUUGGUGAGGAAUUAGCAGCUCUUCUUUCUCGCUACUCAACCUUUUUUUUUUUUUGACCCUGAAAGAUACAAGGGAUGGCAUUACCUAGCCCUUUGGGUAUCAUACCGAUCCAAUGGAAUAUCAAACUCUUUAAUUUUAAUGUGAAAACCUUGGAUUUUCUUGGACUUUACAGAGCAUAGGGGUCAUGUGGUUAUUUGGCUUAAAUGGUGACGUAAGUGUGAUUCUGGGUUAUGUAACUGAGUAGGCAGCUGUCUCAUCUAAUUUCAGAGAGCUGAAAAGACUCCAUGAGUACACCCCCACUCUUCUCCAUGCAUGAAGCUCUCCUAGCAGCUACUAUUUUUAAUAGCGCUCAUUAAUUAGCUUAUAUGUCAGGAACUGUGCUAAGUACUUUCCUUUUACACUCACUUAAGGUGAGAGGCAUUAAUACUCCACUUAAGAGCCAUUGCUUUGACUUAAAGCACCACAGUUGGUGAGGAAUUAGCAACUCUUCUUUCUCGCUACCCAACCUAUCUUUUUGACCCUUGUGUUUUACUGCUCGUCCUAAACCACGGACCAGACAAUGUUCUAUACUGCACAACUGCGUGCAAGAGCUUCAUCCAUGUAUCCCAGGAGAGGAUUAAGCCUCUGCAAAAUAAGAAUAAAGUGGUCUAUGAAUAGACUACUUUUAGUAGGGUGCGUUGGGGGUGAGGUUCGAUUUAGGAUUUUCAGAGGAAGCCUAGGGUGGGAAUGGUAUGGGAUGAGGGUAGGAAAAGGGAUAAUCUUUGUUUUAAUUCCUGAAGAAAAUACUGUCAUUGUAUACUGGGGGGGAACAUAUAGCAGGAAUUUAUUGUCUCAUAGCAUGGGGGCUAGAACUUCAAGAUCAAAUUCUCAACCAUUGAUUGUAUCUAAGUGUUAAGAGGGAAUACUUAUUCCAGUUUGCUUCUCGCCCCCUGUGUCUGAUAGCCCUGGGCAUUCUCUGGCACUUAGGCAGUGAUCUCUGUCUCUUAACAUUUUAUGCCUCUAUGUGUGGCUGUGUUUAAAUUCCUCCCUUUUACAAAGACCUUAGCGGUAAUGGAUUGGUGACAUAUACUUGUAUGAUCACACCACUCUUAGCAGUGGACCUGGGUGCUGUUACUGCUUCUUCUAAGUCUACCCAGAGUGGAGGUGACCCAGUCCCAGGAGAAAGGGGCAGCUGAUGAACUCUAAGGAACAGGAGCAGAUUCAGACCAGUGGAAGGCAGCCAUGGAACUGGAGGUUGGUCUCUGGCUCUCCAUAUUUGGAAGCAAAACAAGUCACUGCCAAUCACACAACCCUGACGGUCUGGUCACUCCGAAGGACAAAGCUAUAACUGGUGAACUCAGCAUGCACUGUCUGCAAUGCAGAAGAGAGCUCAAGAUACACUGUCUGCAAUGCAGAACUCAAGAUACACUGUCUGCAAUGCAGAACUCAAGACACACUGUCUGCAAUGCAGAACUCAAGAUACACUGUCUGCAAUGCAGAACUCAAGGUACACUGUCUGCAAUGCAGAACUCAAGAUACACUGUCUGCAAUGCAGAACUCAAGAUACACUGUCUGCACUGCAGUAGAGAACUCAGGAUGCAUUGUCUCAGUGCAGAAGAGAAGACAUUUCUAGUCUAGAACACUUUCUUCUGCCUUUUAAAAGCCCUCCUGAGUCUUUUAUAAGAUCCCUUCCCUACCUUAGGGAUAGUAUGUCACCCCUCCAACAAUUGUUUUCACAUUUUAUUUUAUAUAAUUCAUUGUUGGAAAAUUGAAAAAUAGGCUAAUACUAAUAGAUUAGUAUUCAUGGAGGAACUUUUUUUUUAUUACUGAAUACAUUUUUCUGCUCAAACCCAUCACUCUUACUGAUGUUGGAGUUACUUUGUAACUAUAGUUAGCAGUAAACUAAAGAAAACUUUAAAAAA
Non-coding RNA from Rattus norvegicus (Norway rat), 2239 nucleotides. The record is from RefSeq and is a predicted model, not a curated record. Lineage: Eukaryota; Metazoa; Chordata; Mammalia; Rodentia; Muridae.